Molecule: long non-coding RNA, 1185 nt
Organism: Mustela lutreola (European mink)
Lineage: Eukaryota; Metazoa; Chordata; Mammalia; Carnivora; Mustelidae
Exons: 2
Source: RefSeq, a predicted model, not a curated record
GUCCAUGGUACAUGACUCAGUUUCCCCUGGUGUUCCCGUCACAGCCUCCUCUCCUCUUGCCUUCAGGGUCUCAAAGGCGGUCGCGCUUCCCUCCCGAGGUCCCGAGCUCCUGUGCAUCACCCGUCCUUCCCCUACGCCCCACUCUUAGCUUGGUCAUUAGUUUCUUUGGAAAUAGAGCUUCCCUGAAUUGCCCUAAUUUGGGUGAGCCAGAUUCGAAGACAGAAGAGUCCUGGGGAAAAAUGAAUAAGCAAAUUUAAAAGGCACACGAUAUCCACAAAGGAAUCCAGUCCUUUUUAAGAUCCUGUCAUAGGAGGCCAAGGGUGAGGAGGUCUCCUGCUAUCGGUGGGCCAGCGUGCCAACCGCUGAACCAGACGCUCACAGCCGGGCUCUCCCAACAUCAAGACAAGCCCACACACUGGAAAUCGAGCUGAAGGUGGGGCCUUCAAUGUCAGCAAGCAUCGGAAUCACCUGGAGGGCCUGCUAGACCAGCACGAUGGGCCCUGCCCCAGAGCUGGGAUUACACUGAUCAGCCCGGAAGGCCAAUCGCCGGCCCUUGAACUGGUUCCCAGGUGCUGCUGACGCCGCCAGUCAUGGGACCACGCUUUAGAAAUCAUGGCUCCGUUGGCCCUUUCUCCUCCCCCACUUCCCCUUCGGCACUGGGCCAGUCCAGACUCUCACAACGUCCACACGAAUGACUGCCCGACCUUCCGAAACAUCUGGUAACAAGCAGAGUUGUUCCUUCAAAACCCGUCUCCCACCAACAGUUGUGUUUUCCUGUGGGAUAGCACUUAGCAUGUGCGAGGAAGCAGACCGGCCGGCUGGCCGUAAGCACCAGCGAGGCGCGCUCCGGACAAACCCCACGGAAUUACCGCGCAUUUCUGCGUCACUGGUGGAAGACGGUUGUGUUAUUUUCGGAGUCAACCAAUCUCUUAUAAACAUGGCUUAAAUAUUCAAUCCUCCAAACAUCAGAUAUGGAUUUAGAAUUAUUUCCACAAAUGGCUGAGACCAAGCAUCGGAUCUGUGGAGGCUAAUGGUCCUGUGAGAAGUCAUCCGAGAAGAGCCAGGGACCAGGGACCAAUGGUGUGGGGGGAGCAGGCAACGCGUCGAGGGACGUGGGUGAUCAGGUUGUCUGGUGUCCUGCCCAGAGAAGGACAUAAAGUAAAUUUUAUUUCCUUCAGAAAAUAA